AUGCCCUUUUAAAUGCAGUCCAGAGAGGCUGAAAAGGGGGAACACAUCGCUGAUGGCUUUGUGCGGGUUUUUUAACCCUUACCCUCUUUGUAUCUACUGGCAAAGAGGGUUUUUGUUU
The sequence is a regulatory RNA element, 118 nucleotides long. It matches the Rfam family "PyrR binding site". From Rfam's summary of the family: This family represents the PyrR binding site and terminator structure. The record is from Rfam.